UAGAACAUAUUUGAGAAAAGGGGAGAGAGCAAUAGGACCUCUUCAUUCACUUUCAUCAUCAAGAACAACCCUUGAAUGAGGGAAAGGGGGUUUCAUUCAUUCCACUUUAAAACUCAAAAUUUGGUAAGCAAUUUAAUUUCAUCAUCAACCUCUUAUCUAAAUUGAAUCCCUCUUACCAUCAUUCUUAAUUGUAUUCCAUGAUCAAACCCUUAUAUGAGAAAUUGAAGCUUUGGUCUCAAGAAGUGAAGGAAAGAAUAUUGGGUUUUAAGGUUUGGAGGUCAUGCAUGUAGCUAGGAAGGAAGGAUUUCAUCAUCAUCUUUGUCACCUUCUUCCAUUUCGAGAAAGAGGUGGAUUUCCACUCCUUUUAAGUUAACAUUGUACCUUGAUCCCCCGUCAUCAUCAAGAUGAACCCCUGAAUAAGGGAAAGGAAAGGGGUUUCACUCAUUUCACUCACAAACUCAUAAUUUGGGGGAGAGAAAGAGGAACUCAUCAUCAAGAACAACCCUUGAAGGAAGGCAAUGGGGUUUCACUUAUUCCAGUCUCAAACUCAAAAUUUUCCCUUGCCUCAAGAAAUGAAGGAAAGCGCAUAUAGUUUUAAAAAUUGGAGUUCAUGUAAGUGGGUAGGAAGGAAGAUUUCAUCAUCAUCAUCAUCUUUGUCAUCUUCUUCAACUUCUGGAAAGAGGGUUUUAGAGAUUUGGGGGAAAACAAGAGUAGAAGAGAAGGAGGCUAUGUCUUGAAGGGGAGACUAGAAGCUUGGAGAUUUCUAUUCAUGGUGUCAAAUUGGAGAUGCAAUUGGAGACCCAUUGACUUGCUUCAAUUGAUAAGGUAAGGGUGAGGUUCUCUUCCUAUAAUGGGGCUUAUGAAACCUUGUAUGUUGGCGAUUAGGGAUUUAAGUUAUUAUUUUCUUGUGUUAAAUUGUUACCGAAACUUGAAAUUAUGAGUUUUUGUCGUUGUUGUGCGUUGCUGAUUGUUGCCGUUUGUGUUAAUAAAUGUAUGAUGCUGGAUGUAUGGUGAGGGGUGCCGACCGGUAACUCCAUGGCCAUUUCAUUUUCUUGUUAUUUCAUUUUGUACCGUAAUUA
Long non-coding RNA from Vicia villosa (hairy vetch), 1079 nucleotides. RefSeq lists it as uncharacterized. The transcript has 4 exons. The record is from RefSeq and is a predicted model, not a curated record. NCBI's taxonomy places the organism in Eukaryota, Viridiplantae, Streptophyta, Magnoliopsida, Fabales, Fabaceae.